Molecule: long non-coding RNA, 933 nt
Filed under: Olea europaea subsp. europaea
Lineage: Eukaryota; Viridiplantae; Streptophyta; Magnoliopsida; Lamiales; Oleaceae
Source: RNAcentral
UCAUCCGAAAAAUAAUUCCACCAAAUUCCAUAUAUUGACCUCGAAAGAUUCACAGAACUGUUACUACAUCAAAAUAUAACAAUCCUUUCAGUGAAUGUAAAAUGUAAUUUAUCAUGUAUCAUCAAUCUCAAAUUCCAAGUGAAAAAACAAGAAAAAAACAAAGAGGCAGAGACAGAGACUUCAAAUGAUCAUUGGUGGGAGACUUCUAAUUAUUCCCUCUCUUCCAUGAAUCAUUCGCUUCCAAGAUUUCAAUUGACCAGUAAUUUUCUUGCAGAAACCAGUUUUAGCAGAAACUAAUGUUAAUCCAAUGCUCUUUCUCAGUAUCUUAAAUCUUUUACCAAUCUUGAUCUUCAACUUGAACAUUUUCACUCUCAGCCAUGAAGGUCUUGACCUCCUGAUUUCUGCUUUCUGCAAAGCCUUGUAAAUCAAGAAUUGUGCCCUUUGAUGCUUUUUCUCUUCCGGGUCAAACAUUUCCAUCUUCGAAUACGCAUAUGAUCUAUUCAAAAAGUCCAUUUUGAUGAUCUUGAGGCUACUCGACUCGAUAGGGAAGGUAUUUUAUUGGCGACUGGGCUUGUCUUUUUUUGACAGAUUACUCUCAAAGACGGAUUUUUUUUUACUGAGGGCUUUCUUGUGACGAGCGGGCUUGCAAAAAACUGUGUGUGUGUGUGUUAGAGCGAGAUAGAAGAGAGACAGAGAUGAGUUGAUCAAAGAUUUGUUGAAUUUGAUGAAGUAUUUAUAGUGAAACAUUGAAGAGUUGCAAUGGGGGUCAUGUUAAUAAUGGGAUUGAAAACUGAAAAACUGAGCUGGCCUGAAAUGCAUUAUAUGCUGCAAAAAUUUUCUUUUAGUUAAUUGUCAAACAACUAUAUAUCUAUAUAUAACUAGGAUUUGAUGGAGACAGCAGAUAUAAAAAUGACACACCCGGGCGGUUGAAGC